GUUCCAGACUCCUACGGGAGGCAGCAGUGGGGAAUAUUGCACAAUGGGGGGAACCCUGAUGCAGCGACGCCGCGUGGGUGAAGGAGUAUUUCGGUAUGUAAAGCCCUAUCAGCAGGGAAGAACAAUGACGGUACCUGACUAAGAAGCACCGGCUAAAUACGUGCCAGCAGCCGCGGUAAUACGUAUGGUGCAAGCGUUAUCCGGAUUUACUGGGUGUAAAGGGAGCGCAGGCGGCGCGUUAAGCCUGGUGUGAAAGCCCGCGGCCCAACCGCGGGACUGCAUUGGGAACUGGCGCGCUGGAGUGCCGGAGGGGUAGGCGGAAUUCCUAGUGUAGCGGUGAAAUGCGUAGAUAUUAGGAGGAACACCGGUGGCGAAGGCGGCCUGCUGGACUGUGACUGACGUUGAGGCCCGAAGGCGUGGGGAGCAAACAGGAUUAGAUACCCGAGUAUA
This 450-nucleotide ribosomal RNA is filed under the name uncultured bacterium. Its description in RNAcentral is "bacterial SSU rRNA". It matches the Rfam family "Bacterial small subunit ribosomal RNA", at positions 328 to 794 of the family's 1533-position model. The record is from RNAcentral.